UGCAAGUCGACCGAACAGACGAGGAGCUUGCUCCUCUGACGUUAGCGGCGGACGGGUGAGUAACACGUGGAUAACCUACCUAUAAGACUGGGAUAACUUCGGGAAACCGGAGCUAAUACCGGAUAAUAUAUUGAACCGCAUGGUUCAAUAGUGAAAGACGGUUUUGCUGUCACUUAUAGAUGGAUCCGCGCCGCAUUAGCUAGUUGGUAAGGUAACGGCUUACCAAGGCAACGAUGCGUAGCCGACCUGAGAGGGUGAUCGGCCACACUGGAACUGAGACACGGUCCAGACUCCUACGGGAGGCAGCAGUAGGGAAUCUUCCGCAAUGGGCGAAAGCCUGACGGAGCAACGCCGCGUGAGUGAUGAAGGUCUUCGGAUCGUAAAACUCUGUUAUUAGGGAAGAACAAAUGUGUAAGUAACUAUGCACGUCUUGACGGUACCUAAUCAG
RNAcentral lists this ribosomal RNA (448 nucleotides) under uncultured Staphylococcus sp. RNAcentral's name for it is "bacterial SSU rRNA". It matches the Rfam family "Bacterial small subunit ribosomal RNA", at positions 56 to 486 of the family's 1533-position model. Lineage: Bacteria; Bacillati; Bacillota; Bacilli; Caryophanales; Staphylococcaceae. The record is from RNAcentral.